CCCUUAGAUGUUCUGGGCAGCACGCGCGCUACAAUGGUCUUCGCAAACGGAUGCAUUCUCGAAGGAGAAUGCCAAUCUUGGAAUCUAUGCCUUGGUCGGGACAGUUGCUUGCAAUUUUUCGACUCGAACCAGGAAUUCCUUGUAAUCGUGAUUCAUCGCAUCACGAUGAAUACGUCCCUGCCCUUUGUACACACCGCCCGUCGCUCCUACCGAUCGAAGAGUUAGGUGAAUUGUUUUGAUCGAUAAGAUUUGACUAUGGUCAACUCUCGUUGUGAAAUUCUGUGAAUCUGACUGUUUAGAGGAAGGAAAAGCCGUAACA
This 319-nucleotide ribosomal RNA is filed under the name uncultured eukaryote. RNAcentral describes it as "partial 18S ribosomal RNA". It matches the Rfam family "Eukaryotic small subunit ribosomal RNA", at positions 1470 to 1796 of the family's 1831-position model. The record is from RNAcentral.